This 1291-nucleotide long non-coding RNA is filed under the name Numida meleagris (helmeted guineafowl). RNAcentral's name for it is "lncRNA (ENSNMEG00000021611.1)". The record is from RNAcentral. Lineage: Eukaryota; Metazoa; Chordata; Aves; Galliformes; Numididae.
AUGUUGCUGAAGAGAGAAACAAUGUCAUUAACCACUACUGGACAUUCAAUAAUGUGUACUAGUCAUGUCAAUGUGAGGAAUGCUCUCUUUUCAUUCUCUUUUCUUUCCAUCCUACAGAAUUCCCAUUUUCUUCAUCACAAAGCAGCAAAGAUGGCUCAACAACAACUGUCUGAUACCAGUAUCGUUACAAAAAAUCUUGUUUCCAACUCUUCCACAUCUCUUGCCUCAGGAUCAGAAGAUGUUUUACUCAUGCUUGGAGAUCUGCUGAGAGAAAUCAAGAGAGGAUUGUGAUUCAGAGAACAGCUGAUUGAUUCUCCUCUUCCUGUUCUCACUCAGAGGCCACGGUACGUAAGCAGAAGGUCACAGGCAGUAUGGGAUGGAAGCCACGCUCCAAAAUAAGUACUUUCCUCAGAAUGCAGGCAGAGAGGAAUAUCAAAAUAUGUGCCUCUUCUUGUGUUCAAAUCAAAGAGGAAUUUGGCUUGAGUGUUACAAAAAUGUUUUUGGACACUGAGUAAUAUCACAACUCCACAGUAAGAAAGUAAAAGAAAUCAGCAUCAUUACAUUUAAUGACUCCUACAUUUAAAAAUAUCUGUGAAAAUUUGAAAGGUGCCUGAAGACUGGAGGAUAGGCAGUGUCACUCCGGUCUUCAAAAAGGGCAAGAAGGAGGAUCUGGGAAACUACAGGCCAGUCAGCCUCACCUCCAUCCCAGCAAAGUGACGGAACAGCUUGUUCUGGGUGCCAUCUCCAGGGAAUUGGAAGAGAAGAAGGUUAUCAGGAGUAGUCAGCAUGGGUUCACCAGGCAGAGGUCAUGCUCAACCAACCCAGCCUUCUAUGAUGUCAUCACUGGCUGAGUGGAUGGGGGGAGAGCAGUGGAUGUAAUCUACAUUGAUUUCAGCAAGGCAUUUGAUGCUAUCUCCCACAACAUCCUUAUAACAAAGCUGAGGAAGUGUAUAGAUGAAUGGAUGGUGAGGUGGGUUGAGAACUGGCUGACUGAUCAACCUCAGAGAGUUGUGAUCAGUGGUGCAGAGUCCACUUGGAGGCCUGCAUUUAGUGGUGUUCCUCAGGGGUUGGUGCUGGGUCCGGUCUUGUUCAACAUCUUCAACAAUAACCUUGAUGAGAGGAUAGCAUCCACCCUCAGCAAGUUUGCUGAUGAUACAAAGCUGGGAGGAAUGGCUGACACACCAGAAGGCUGCACUGCCUUUCAGUGAGACCUGGGCAGGCUGCAGAGUUGGGCAGAAAGGAACCAGAUGAGGUUUAACAAGAGCAAGUGUAGAGUCUUGCCCCUGCGGAG